Molecule: long non-coding RNA, 653 nt
Organism: Triticum aestivum (bread wheat)
Lineage: Eukaryota; Viridiplantae; Streptophyta; Magnoliopsida; Poales; Poaceae
Exons: 2
Source: RefSeq, a predicted model, not a curated record
UUAAUCAAUCCCGUGCGGCUGGGUACCGAGCAGUCGCCUCCUUUUUUCUCGUUCCUCCCCAACUCCCCCACGCGCAACCCCUGCCGCCGCUUCUUCUUCCUCGCCCAGCGCCGUCGCCCCGAUGCAGCCGCUCCAUCCUCCACCAGCAGCCCCGCCCCGCCGCUGAUCGUCGCCUACAGCGCCACCAUCCUCAGUUUCAGCCGGCCGCAUGGACCGUCGCCGGGAGAAAUUCGCCGGGGCACCACCGGCUCCGCCUCUGUUCGCCGGGGCACCACCGGCUCCGCCUCUAUUCGCCGCUACACCACCGGCUCCUCCUAUGUUCGCAGCCGCCAACAGCUCCUCCGGCCAGUCAGCACCUGGUCUUUGGUGGAUUUGUAGUGCAGUCAAAUUGGACAAAUUGCUGCUAGUGCUGGAUUUGAAUGCAAUGAGCUACCGCCUACUAGUGCUGGAUUUGAUUAGUCUUAAGGUGGGUAUUCUGGUUAAAGUUUUGGGGACAAAUUGCUGCUUGUGUUGCUGUCAAAUAUGCUCAUCACUCUGCUAUUGCCUACUGAGUGCGCGAAAAUAUUAUUGGUUGUUAUGAUCUGAUACAUCGUAAGAAGGAUAUCAUCACUUUAUCAAUCAGAAGGUACUUAUGUAUUCAUGUUGCUAUGGUC